This 253-nucleotide ribosomal RNA is filed under the name uncultured bacterium. Its description in RNAcentral is "partial 16S ribosomal RNA". It matches the Rfam family "Bacterial small subunit ribosomal RNA", at positions 524 to 776 of the family's 1533-position model. The record is from RNAcentral.
GACAGAGGGUGCAAACGUUGCUCGGAAUCACUGGGCGUAAAGGGCGCGUAGGCGGCGUGACAAGUCACUUGUGAAAUCUCUGAGCUUAACUCAGAACGGCCAAGUGAAACUGUUGUGCUAGAGUGCAGAAGGGGCAAUCGGAAUUCUUGGUGUAGCGGUGAAAUGCGUAGAUAUCAAGAGGAACACCUGAGGUGAAGACGGGUUGCUGGGCUGACACUGACGCUGAGGCGCGAAAGCCAGGGGAGCAAACGGG